This 259-nucleotide ribosomal RNA is filed under the name uncultured bacterium. RNAcentral describes it as "partial 16S ribosomal RNA". It matches the Rfam family "Bacterial small subunit ribosomal RNA", at positions 96 to 353 of the family's 1533-position model. The record is from RNAcentral.
UGGCGGACGGGUGAGUAACGCGUGGGUAACCUGCCUUAUACAGGGGGAUAACAGUUAGAAAUGACUGCUAAUACCGCAUAAGCGCACAGGAUUGCAUGAUCCGGUGUGAAAAACUCCGGUGGUAUAAGAUGGACCCGCGUCUGAUUAGCUUGUUGGUGAGGUAACGGCCCACCAAGGCGACGAUCAGUAGCCGACCUGAGAGGGUGACCGGCCACAUUGGGACUGAGACACGGCCCAAACUCCUACGGGAGGCAGCAUG